Non-coding RNA from Cinara cedri, 564 nucleotides. NCBI's taxonomy places the organism in Eukaryota, Metazoa, Arthropoda, Insecta, Hemiptera, Aphididae. The record is from the annotation of a GenBank genome assembly.
AGUAUUCAAUUCCCAUCAAAAAUAUUAAUCCGUCUAAAUAUUAUUGUUAUACAUUUCUUAAUAGUUAAUACUAGGAUGUGAUAAGAGAUUAAUUGAUUUGAAAAAUCGAAUAAACUCUUUAAAACAAAUCACGCUAAUGCAUAUUAAAAGUGCGUUUAUGAAGGUUUAACUAAAUGCUAAUCUGUGGCAUAGCAUGCGGGACCCGUUUCGUCAAAACCUACCUUUCCCGUUUUGCUCAAAAACGCUAGUUAUUUUAAAUUUAAGUUGACAUAAUUUUUGAAUAGUUGAAACACAUGGAAAAUUAUUUAAAACUGUUUAUGAUACAUAAAUGUGUAGCGUUGAAACUUGAAAUUCCCGAAAAAUCGAAGUAGACAAGAACAUGGGCGCCGGGACAUGAGUACAUAAGCAUGAUAAAAAUAUGUUACAAUACGUAAAUAAGUAAUAUUAUAUUAUUUUGAAGGUUUUGAUUAUUAACCCACUAUGCGUGGCCGGGUGAGCUAAACAUACCUAAACAACGACAGGCAAUCUUAAAAAAAUAAUGAUUUGUAUUUUGUGAUGGCUUUU